RNAcentral lists this ribosomal RNA (46 nucleotides) under uncultured Tomentellopsis. Its description in RNAcentral is "partial 28S ribosomal RNA". Lineage: Eukaryota; Fungi; Basidiomycota; Agaricomycetes; Thelephorales; Thelephoraceae. The record is from RNAcentral.
UUCGACCUCAAUCAGAGGACUACCCGCUGAACUUAAGCAUUCAAGA